This 180-nucleotide ribosomal RNA is filed under the name Bacillus cereus. Its description in RNAcentral is "partial 16S ribosomal RNA". It matches the Rfam family "Bacterial small subunit ribosomal RNA", at positions 368 to 539 of the family's 1533-position model. The record is from RNAcentral. Lineage: Bacteria; Bacillati; Bacillota; Bacilli; Caryophanales; Bacillaceae.
GCAAUGGACGAAAGUCUGACGGAGCAACGCCGCGUGAGUGAUGAAGGCUUUCGGGUCGUAAAACUCUGUUGUUAGGGAAGAACAAGUGCUAGUUGAAUAAGCUGGCACCUUGACGGUACCUAACCAGAAAGCCACGGCUAACUACGUGCCAGCAGCCGCGGUAAUACGUAGGUGGCAAGC